GUGGGUGGCCUAACAAAGCCACUCAUUGCUGUUGGACGAUUUCUCAUUUGCUCUCCCCUGCUUGGAAGAGCAGCACAUUAAGUGAGGAGCGAGGGCUUUGCACUUCUUUGUGUGUGGUUUUUGGGACCUAUUUUGGUGUUGGGGAGCAGAGGUGCAAAAAAAACAGAUCGACAAAGCAAGUAGUCUUGUAUGUGUGGGUCUGUCCUCAGUUUUUAUUCUAACAGCUAGCUGAAGGUGGGGCACAAAAGAGAGAAGACUUGUUCUGUCAUCCAAUAUAUCGCUUAGAACGGUGUUCUGCACGCAGGAAGUGCUUAAUCAGUACAAUUGAAUGAAAGGGGUUAACGAGCUGUAUUUAAUAACAACAGUGCCUCAGCCAUUAUGUUCUGUUUCCUCAUUCUGACCCCUAAACAGCCCGAACCUUCCUUUGCCGUCGAUGUCUGCAUUCUGUCUGUGCUCUCUCUAGGUAAAAACCCUAGAUCCAUCAGGAUGGCAGGCAGGGGAAUAGUGUGGAAACGCAAGCGAGGUCUGCAAGCAGGUGAAAAGUGGAGCCUGUCGGCCAAGUUGCUCAUAAGUGUUAUGUUUGCAGGGAAAUCUAGAGAGUUUUCUUUGGAGAAAAAAAUCAAAGAACAGAGAAGUUUUCAGGACUCAGCUUACCGCAUCUUUAAAGACUCCAAGUCUGAUGGUACAUAGAAGGAUGAAGCUGCAUAAAGAAGAAUUAUUUAUCGUUGGUUAUCCUGAUAGUGAAUUGUAAUCUUCCUCUCAUUUUCUAGUCGACUUUGAAAGAGGAGGAGGGCAGGCUCCAUCCAGUAGCCAGUGGGAAGGCUAAAGGCUGGUUUUGGCGUGCUGCUGUUUUGCCACCUGGAAGGGCUUUCAAAACUGCUUCUUGGUAUCCGGUCUUUCCGAUGACUCCGCCCGAAAACGGCAACCCCUCUCGAUCAUUGCACGCUAGCUCCCUCCUUUCCCUGACCCGUGAAGCCGAUCCACUGAAACCGAGGCAGAUUGGUGUUCGGGUGAAAAGGGGAUACUGCAGCUCUUAAAGGAUUGCUUGUUCAAACAACAUCACCACCACCAUCACCACCACGUAGUUACACAGUGACUAAAAAUACAACACACGGUUCACGGACUAAGCCUCAGUAGUAAGUUAAUAAAUACAUCCUAUAGAUA
Long non-coding RNA from Ornithorhynchus anatinus (platypus), 1164 nucleotides. RefSeq lists it as uncharacterized. The record is from RefSeq and is a predicted model, not a curated record. The transcript is spliced from 3 exons. NCBI's taxonomy places the organism in Eukaryota, Metazoa, Chordata, Mammalia, Monotremata, Ornithorhynchidae.